GCUCGACUCUCCCACCCUUUGUGAACGUACCUCUGUUGCUUUGGCGGCUCCGGCCGCCAAAGGACCUUCAAACUCCAGUCAGUAAACGCAGACGUCUGAUAAACAAGUUAAUAAACUAAAACUUUCAACAACGGAUCUCUUGGUUCUGGCAUCGAUGAAGAACGCAGCGAAAUGCGAUAAGUAAUGUGAAUUGCAGAAUUCAGUGAAUCAUCGAAUCUUUGAACGCACAUUGCGCCCCUUGGUAUUCCGGGGGGCAUGCCUGUUCGAGCGUCAUUACAACCCUCAAGCUCUGCUUGGAAUUGGGCACCGUCCUCACUGCGGACGCGCCUCAAAGACCUCGGCGGUGGCUGUUCAGCCCUCAAGCGUAGUAGAAUACACCUCGCUUUGGAGCGGUUGGCGUCGCCCGCCGGACGAACCUUCUGAACUUUUCUCAAGGUUGACCUCGGAUCAGGUAGGGAUACCCGCUGAACUUAAGCAUAUCAAUAAGCG
RNAcentral lists this ribosomal RNA (489 nucleotides) under Lasiodiplodia theobromae. RNAcentral's name for it is "eukaryotic LSU rRNA". The stretch from base 120 to 273 matches the Rfam family "5.8S ribosomal RNA". The record is from RNAcentral. Lineage: Eukaryota; Fungi; Ascomycota; Dothideomycetes; Botryosphaeriales; Botryosphaeriaceae.